UGUGUAGGCGGCCGAUUAAGUCAACGAUGAAAUCCCGAAGCUCAACUUCGGAAUGGUCUUUGACACUGAUCGGCUUGAGGCUGGUUGAGGAGAGCGGAAUUCCCGGUGGAGCGGUGAAAUGCGUAGAUAUCGGGAGGAACACCAGAGGCGAAGGCGGUUCUCUAAACUUGUCCUGACGCUGAGACACGAAAGCUAGGGAGCAAACG
RNAcentral lists this ribosomal RNA (206 nucleotides) under uncultured bacterium. Its description in RNAcentral is "partial 16S ribosomal RNA". It matches the Rfam family "Bacterial small subunit ribosomal RNA", at positions 568 to 774 of the family's 1533-position model. The record is from RNAcentral.